AAGCCCUUCGGGGUGGAUUAGUGGCGAACGGGUGAGUAACACGUGGGCAAUCUGCCCUUCACUCUGGGACAAGCCCUGGAAACGGGGUCUAAUACCGGAUAACACUUCCGUCCUCCUGGACGGUGGUUAAAAGCUCCGGCGGUGAAGGAUGAGCCCGCGGCCUAUCAGCUUGUUGGUGAGGUAAUGGCUCACCAAGGCGACGACGGGUAGCCGGCCUGAGAGGGCGACCGGCCACACUGGGACUGAGACACGGCCCAGACUCCUACGGGAGGCAGCAGUGGGGAAUAUUGCACAAUGGGCGAAAGCCUGAUGCAGCGACGCCGCGUGAGGGAUGACGGCCUUCGGGUUGUAAACCUCUUUCAGCAGGGAAGAAGCGAAAGUGACGGUACCUGCAGAAGAAGCGCCGGCUAACUACGUGCCAGCAGCCGCGGUAAUACGUAGGGCGCAAGCGUUGUCCGGAAUUAUUGGGCGUAAAGAGCUCGUAGGCGGCUUGUCACGUCGGUUGUGAAAGCCCGGGGCUUAACCCCGGGUCUGCAGUCGAUACGGGCAGGCUAGAGUGUGGUAGGGGAGAUCGGAAUUCCUGGUGUAGCGGUGAAAUGCGCAGAUAUCAGGAGGAACACCGGUGGCGAAGGCGGAUCUCUGGGCCAUUACUGACGCUGAGGAGCGAAAGCGUGGGGAGCGAACAGGAUUAGAUACCCUGGUAGUCCACGCCGUAAACGGUGGGAACUAGGUGUUGGCGACAUUCCACGUCGUCGGUGCCGCAGCUAACGCAUUAAGUUCCCCGCCUGGGGAGUACGGCCGCAAGGCUAAAACUCAAAGGAAUUGACG
This 828-nucleotide ribosomal RNA is filed under the name Streptomyces sp. RNAcentral's name for it is "bacterial SSU rRNA". It matches the Rfam family "Bacterial small subunit ribosomal RNA", at positions 73 to 915 of the family's 1533-position model. Lineage: Bacteria; Bacillati; Actinomycetota; Actinomycetes; Kitasatosporales; Streptomycetaceae. The record is from RNAcentral.